This 351-nucleotide long non-coding RNA is filed under the name Helianthus annuus (common sunflower). RNAcentral's name for it is "hypothetical non coding rna". Lineage: Eukaryota; Viridiplantae; Streptophyta; Magnoliopsida; Asterales; Asteraceae. The record is from RNAcentral.
GGUGCAUCAUGUAGGAAACUUAAUCCCCUUGCAGCACCAAUGCAUGUCUUGAGACGUUGUCUCCACGUGAAAUUAGUGGAACUUAAAUGACGGUCAAGGCUUUCUUUAGGUGCGUGCUCGAUCAUUUGAUCACCCUCGUUACAGAAUCCAAGGAGAGUGAUGAGAUUUUCAUGCUUGAAACGGUUUAGUAUCGUGAUCUCCUUCCAGAACUCUAGGUCACCUUGGCCAUAUUUUCGAUCAAGACACUUGAUAGCAACCAUGCUACGCCCCUUAAAAUGAGACAGUUGUCCACUGUACACCUUGCCAAAACCACCAUGGCCGAUGAUUUGAAGAUCAUCAAAGGUGUUGGUG